GAUGAACGCUGGCGGCGUGCCUAAUACAUGCAAGUCGAGCGAACAGACGAGGAGCUUGCUCCUCUGACGUUAGCGGCGGACGGGUGAGUAACACGUGGAUAACCUACCUAUAAGACUGGGAUAACUUCGGGAAACCGGAGCUAAUACCGGAUAAUAUAUUGAACCGCAUGGUUCAAUAGUGAAAGACGGUUUUGCUGUCACUUAUAGAUGGAUCCGCGCCGCAUUAGCUAGUUGGUAAGGUAACGGCUUACCAAGGCAACGAUGCGUAGCCGACCUGAGAGAGUGAUCGGCCGCACGGGAACUGAGACACGGUCCAGACUCCUACGGGAGGCAGCAGUAGGGAAUCUUCCGCAGUGGGCGAAAGCUUGACGGAGCAACGCCGCGUGAGUGAUGAAGAUCUUCGGAUCGUAAAGCUCUGUUAUGAGGGAAGAACAAAUGUGUAAGUAACUAUGCACGUCUUGACGGUACCGAAUCAGAAAGCCACGGCUAACUACGUG
RNAcentral lists this ribosomal RNA (497 nucleotides) under uncultured bacterium. RNAcentral's name for it is "partial 16S ribosomal RNA". It matches the Rfam family "Bacterial small subunit ribosomal RNA", at positions 28 to 507 of the family's 1533-position model. The record is from RNAcentral.